Molecule: ribosomal RNA, 468 nt
Filed under: uncultured bacterium
Lineage: Bacteria
Description: partial 16S ribosomal RNA
Rfam family: Bacterial small subunit ribosomal RNA
Source: RNAcentral
GACGAACGCUGGCGGCGUGCUUAACACAUGCAAGUCGAACGGAAAGGCCCUGCGUUUGUGGGGUGCUCGAGUGGCGAACGGGUGAGUAACACGUGAGUAACCUGCCCUUGACUUUGGGAUAACUUCAGGGAACUGGGGCUAAUACCGGAUAGGAGCUCCUGCUGCAUGGUGGGGGUUGGAGAGUUUCGGCGGGUGGGGAUGGACUCGCGGCUUAUCAGCUUGUUGGUGGGGUAGUGGCUUACCAAGGCUUUGACGGGUAGCCGGCCUGUGAGGGUGACCGGCCACAUUGGGACUGAGAUACGGCCCAGACUCCUACGGGGGGCAGGAGGUGGGAAUAUUGCACAAUGGGCGGAAGCCUGAUGCAGCAACGCCGCGUGCGGGAUGACGGCCUUCGGGUUGUAAACCGCUUUCGCCUGUGACGAAGCGUGAGUGACGGUAAUGGGUAAAGAAGCACCGGCUAACUACGUG